GAGUUUGAUCAUGGCUCAGAUUGAACGCUGGCGGCAUGCCUUACACAUGCAAGUCGAACGGCAGCAUGAUCUAGCUUGCUAGAUUGAUGGCGAGUGGCGAACGGGUGAGUAAUACAUCGGAACGUGCCCUGUAGUGGGGGAUAACUAGUCGAAAGAUUAGCUAAUACCGCAUACGACCUGAGGGUGAAAGUGGGGGACCGCAAGGCCUCAUGCUAUAGGAGCGGCCGAUGUCUGAUUAGCUAGUUGGUGGGGUAAAGGCCCACCAAGGCGACGAUCAGUAGCUGGUCUGAGAGGACGAUCAGCCACACUGGGACUGAGACACGGCCCAGACUCCCACGGGAGGCAGCAGUGGGGAAUUUUGGACAAUGGGCGAAAGCCUGAUCCAGCAAUGCCGCGUGUGUGAAGAAGGCCUCGG
Molecule: ribosomal RNA, 415 nt
Filed under: uncultured microorganism
Description: bacterial SSU rRNA
Rfam family: Bacterial small subunit ribosomal RNA
Source: RNAcentral